UACGAAGGGGGCUAGCGUUGUUCGGAAUUACUGGGCGUAAAGCGCGCGCAGGCGGUCUUCCAAGUCAGUGGUGAAAGCCCGGAGCUCAACUCCGGAACUGCCAUUGAAACUGUGAGACUUGAGUAUGAGAGAGGUGAGUGGAAUUCCCAGUGUAGAGGUGAAAUUCGUAGAUAUUCGCAAGAACACCAGUGGCGAAGGCGGCUCACUGGCCCGAUACUGACGCUGAGGCACGAAAGCGUGGGGAGCAAACAG
Molecule: ribosomal RNA, 252 nt
Filed under: uncultured bacterium
Lineage: Bacteria
Description: partial 16S ribosomal RNA
Rfam family: Bacterial small subunit ribosomal RNA
Source: RNAcentral